AAGGGCACCACAAGAACGCGUGGAGCAUGUGGCUUAAUUUGACUCAACGCGGGAAAUCUUACCGGGUCCGGACACACUGAGGAUUGACAGGUAUACACACACUAAUCGAAUAAAUAAAAAUUUAUUUUUUUAUUUUUUUUUCGUGACGUGUGUACAAAAUAUGCUAGUCCUUUCAUGAUUAUGUGAUAGGUGGUGCAUGGCCGUUCUUAGUUCGUGGAGUGAUCUGUCUGCUUAAUUGCGUUUCACUUAGGUCUUUUUCUAUUUUAUAGAAACGGGUACUGCGGCCGAAUAGUGCUUAUUGACCCCUUGCAAUUUAUUUUGUGAGUGAGUGUCUUUAAGUAUUGCAUUCGCUUACCCUAUAAAGACCUGAAAGCAACGAACGUGACCGCAACCUCUUGUUGCCUUUAAAUUUUAAUAUUUUUAUGCGGUGGGGCAUUAAUUUGUUUUACCCAUAAAAUAAAAAUAAAAAGGCUUUUACUUACUAACUAGAGGGACCGCUGUUACUUUCUUAAACCAGAGGAAGGUUGCGGCAAUAACAGGUCUGUGAUGCCCUUAGAUGUUCCGGGCUGCACACGUGCUACAAUGAUUAUUGCAGUGAGCAUCUCAUUUAUACACACCGCUGUGCGAUCCAAUUAUUACGCAUAAAAUUAUUUUUUUUUUUAAUUAAAUAAAAUAUUUUAUUGUCGUUAAAUAAUUGUGUAUCUGCACGCGGUAAAGCCUACUUCGAAAGUAAGUGGGUAAUCAAUUAGAAGUAAUGAUUUCCUGUAUUUUAUUAUACAGUGCACAACAAUAUAUGGCAUUGUUACCCAGAUUGGACUUGUCUCUAAUCAUUGUGUGUAACGAUGGAAAUUUGCUUUUUACCAGGCAUAUUUCUUUACCGUAUGUGCAAUUGUCAAUUCAUGGUGGGGACAGACCAUUGUUAAUUGUUGGUCUCGGUCUUAACUAGGAAUGCCUUGUACGGGUCUUUGGUUCAACAAACCACCCGGAAUACGUCCCUGCCCUUUGUACACACCGCCCGUCGCUCUUACCGAUGAACUUCUCUGUGAGUUUAAUGGACUGGUAAUUUUUUUUACUACGGAAAAUUAAACGAACAGUGUGGUUUAAAGGAAAGAGAAGUCGAACAAGGC
RNAcentral lists this ribosomal RNA (1127 nucleotides) under Trochammina carinata. RNAcentral's name for it is "partial 18S ribosomal RNA". It matches the Rfam family "Eukaryotic small subunit ribosomal RNA", at positions 1160 to 1800 of the family's 1831-position model. Lineage: Eukaryota; Foraminifera; Textulariida; Trochamminidae. The record is from RNAcentral.